AGCUAGAGAUUGCAGGAAUGGGACCCAUUAGAAAUGAACUUUACAAGGCCAGAAGGCCCAGAACACAGCAAGAAAAGCAAUCAGUUUUUGUCCUUUUUUUAAAACAAUGGCUUACCUUUACUAAUAUCUCCUUCUUGAGGGAAUGGUAUUCAUUUUGGUUAAACAUGGCAGAAACUUCAACAACCACAAAUAUCUUUUGCCACAAACUUUACCCUUUAUUUUGGAGAUGGGGAAGAUGCUUGUGAGUGUGGGACUACAGAAGGACAAAUAUGUGUUGAAGAAGCAAAUUCUUUCUCUCUAUUAUAUGCGCAUCAUUGCAUGCUCACAUUUCUGGUCGAGUAUCGGCAAGAAUCAAAACCAGUGUCUGCAGUCUGCUUCAGUCACAGACUACGUACUGGCAUUAUGUGAAAAACUAAGAAGAGAUCCCAAGGGCACAACUUGUUGUAUGUAGAACAUGUAUUGAUCCAUCUCAAUCCCCACCUGCAGCUACAGUGCGUUGUAUUAUUAUCAUUAUUUUGCCGGUAAUGAUAAUUGAACCACAGGCAUCAACAUGUUUCUAGCACUAUUUGCACCUGUAUCUGGUUGUCACUGGUUUUGUACAAGCUUCAUGUGAACCGAAGUUAAAACGGUAAAAACCCAUUGCCCAAAACUCCAAAUCCGGAGCAGAGAAAAAGCUAAAACACUAGUUGAAGAAAUAUAGGUGAUCUAAACAUACGAAUAGCCAUGUUUA
RNAcentral lists this unclassified non-coding RNA (730 nucleotides) under Hevea brasiliensis (rubber tree). Lineage: Eukaryota; Viridiplantae; Streptophyta; Magnoliopsida; Malpighiales; Euphorbiaceae. The record is from RNAcentral.